GACGAACGCUGGCGGCGUGCUUAACACAUGCAAGUCGAACGGAAAGGCCCUGCUUUUGUGGGGUGCUCGAGUGGCGAACGGGUGAGUAACACGUGAGUAACCUGCCCUUGACUUUGGGAUAACUUCAGGAAACUGGGGCUAAUACCGGAUAGGAGCUCCUGCUGCAUGGUGGGGGUUGGAAAGUUUCGGCGGUUGGGGAUGGACUCGCGGCUUAUCAGCUUGUUGGUGGGGUAGUGGCUUACCAAGGCUUUGACGGGUAGCCGGCCUGAGAGGGUGACCGGCCACAUUGGGACUGAGAGACGGCCCAGACUGCUACGGGAGGCAGCAGUGGGGAAUAUUGCACAAUGGGCGGAAGCCUGAUGCAGCAGCGCCGCGUGCGGGAUGACGGCCUUCGGGUUGUAAACCGCUUUCGCCUGUGACGAAGCGUGAGUGACGGUAAUGGGUAAAGAAGCACCGGCUAACUACGUG
This 468-nucleotide ribosomal RNA is filed under the name uncultured bacterium. Its description in RNAcentral is "partial 16S ribosomal RNA". It matches the Rfam family "Bacterial small subunit ribosomal RNA", at positions 28 to 507 of the family's 1533-position model. The record is from RNAcentral.